UCUGCAGGCUCUUUAUCGUCUCUGCUCCGUUCUCAUUAGCCACAGAUGGACCAGGUGAGUUGGCUUCAGCGCUUGGUCCAGGUGCCUCAGUUGGUGGAGCAGGUGGGCUUGACAACUCUGGACCAGGAGCUGGGGCAGUGUGCUUCUUCGACUUCUUCUUGCUGGGAGUCGGCGCAGGAACCUCUGCGGUUGGUGCAGCCACUGGAGCUGGAGGAGCAUUUU
Molecule: unclassified non-coding RNA, 222 nt
Filed under: Hevea brasiliensis (rubber tree)
Lineage: Eukaryota; Viridiplantae; Streptophyta; Magnoliopsida; Malpighiales; Euphorbiaceae
Source: RNAcentral